GAUUAUGGCUCAGGAUGAACGCUAGCUACAGGCUUAACACAUGCAAGUCGAGGGGCAGCAUUGGAGUAGCAAUACUCAGAUGGCGACCGGCGCACGGGUGAGUAACACGUAUCCAACCUGCCGCUUACUCGGGGAUAGCCUUUCGAAAGAAAGAUUAAUACCCGAUGGUAUAAAGAGUUCGCAUGUUCUCUUUAUUAAAGAAUUUCGGUAAGCGAUGGGGAUGCGUUCCAUUAGAUAGUUGGCGGGGUAACGGCCCACCAAGUCUACGAUGGAUAGGGGUUCUGAGAGGAAGGUCCCCCACAUUGGAACUGAGACACGGUCCAAACUCCUACGGGAGGCAGCAGUGAGGAAUAUUGGUCAAUGGACGAGAGUCUGAACCAGCCAAGUUAACGCGUGAAGGAUGACUGCCCUAUGGGUUGUAAACUUCUUUUAUAAGGGAAUAAAGUGAGGGACGUGUCCCUUUUUGUAUGUACCUUAUGAAUAAGGAUCGGCUAACUCCGUGCCAGCAGCGGC
RNAcentral lists this ribosomal RNA (513 nucleotides) under uncultured bacterium. RNAcentral's name for it is "bacterial SSU rRNA". It matches the Rfam family "Bacterial small subunit ribosomal RNA", at positions 15 to 518 of the family's 1533-position model. The record is from RNAcentral.